Long non-coding RNA from Acanthopagrus latus (yellowfin seabream), 2477 nucleotides. RefSeq lists it as uncharacterized. NCBI's taxonomy places the organism in Eukaryota, Metazoa, Chordata, Actinopteri, Spariformes, Sparidae. The transcript has 3 exons. The record is from RefSeq and is a predicted model, not a curated record.
AAUCAUCCGAGGCUUCUAAAUCCAGCAGACUUCAGUGAAAUUUAGACGACAUGCGUUUGCCUUUCUCAGCGAGAUGAUAAACGAAAUCAGACUGCAAACGGCUGCAAGUGCAGCAUCCCCAGCGGAAAGCUUCUUGUGAAGGAACAUUUCCACAGUUCACCAGUGUUCAGAGGGAGGGCUUUUUUGGGCAAACGUGAUGUAUUUGACUGGAGGCUUUCAUUUUAAGCCUCUUUACCAUCUUUGUCAGCACAGACGUAUAUGGAAGCUGCUGGAUGAUGAACAUUAUAGUGGCCUCUCAUGUUACUACACUCAACACUUCCUGACACCUGAACAUGAGCCACGUGCUCCAGCUCGGUGGUGUCAACGAGGACAUCCCCUACAUCUACCCUCAGCUUCAGCACAAACACUUCACCGGCUGCAUCCGCAACCUCAUCGUGGACAGCAAGCCACAGAUCCUGACCAAAAAAACACCAAAGGCAGGCUGAAGUGCCAACUCUGCCACCAGGUGGACAACAGGAGGAGGGACACACCCUGGGAGUGUCAGGCCUGUGAUCUGUUUUGUAGUGGACUUUGUUGUUUGCUAAGUUUCUACAAAAGUUAGGUAAAAUUUAUAUUUGCAUUCUAAGUGCUAAAAAUGGCUUAUUAAACAUGUUUGUGGUUUUCACAUUAAAAAAAUUACCUUUUUCCUACUCCGAUUUUAUGAUUUUUGUGUGAUUUUAGGCCCAGUGUGUCAAAAUGAAAAAAUAACUGUAAAUUCACACAUGUGAGGUUGUGCUGUAAAAAAUGACACCAUUCAAGGCAAGAUAAACAGCUUUAAGGUGUAAUAUAAAAACAAAAUGAAAAGUAGUCAAAAAUGACCAAUUACACCCCAGAUCCAAGAGGGUUAAGGCUUGCCGGAAGGAGGGGAAUCUUGUGAAGGUGCACUGGGGGUUUUCUUGCGAACAGACCUUUUGUUUAUUUUAGCUGCUUUAGAUGCUGUAUUUUGACUAUUGUUCCCACUGGUGGGCUGACUGUCUCUGAAGACAUCGUUUGCCUCUGCUGUUUGUCCCCUUGAAGCAACCAGCUCGUCUUUCCCUGGCGCUUACGGAGUUUUAAGCAACCUAUGGCUCUGUGGCCCUCUCCGUUGCAAAUAAAACAGUGUCUACAAUCCUGCAAGCCCUUUUCCAGACACUUUAGGCAACCAUAGAGCCUCUAUCUACUGUUAAUUUAGGGUUUGGCAGGUUAGCACCUACACAUGUAGUUCUUUUGCAGUCUCUGCAUGUGAGUCUACUAGCUUAGUGAGUAUAUCCACUUUGUCAGAGAGCUGCUGCUGCUACUGUCUGUUUUGUUCUUUUGUUCAACAUUUUCUUUCUUUCUAUCUGGCUGCUUCAUAUGUUCUGCCUUGACUGUAUUUAAAAUCUAUGUAUAAAAAAACAAACAAAACAAAACAAAAAACUGCUGUUAAUUUAAAUUUUUGAAAUUUUGCUUAUUUUUACUGUUGUUCCUGUUCUUGUAAUAUCUUUCUGUUUUUGUAAUAUUCUGUCGCUGCUGUGACGAACAAUUUUCCUCGUCUGCAGGACAUCAAAGGAUUUCUGAUUCUGAUUCUGAUUCUUGCACACUAUGUGCAGUGGUUUGUUUUGGGUGGUGGGUUGAGCCUACCCUAAGGUGUCACUCACUCACAGCACUUGAUAUUUUCAUGACUUGUUUCAGAUUGUUUCAUCAACACUAUAAUCUAAAAGCAAGGGCUUUAGCUCCCUACGAAUGUCAUUGUGUUUGUACCCUAUUCCUUGAUAUACUGUGUACAGAAAUACACCUUGGACUGUGUGUAAGUUAUACUUAGAUUUCUUAUUUUAAUAAAAACGGUAUUCUUUGUUUGAGCCCAAUGACACAAGAAAUUAUUAGUUGAGGGGCCUCAUGCUCUUUCUGUUCAGCAAAAAUUAGCUCUUGAAAUAGUUCUGUGCUAUUUCUCUUGCCUAAGUGUGACUGCCAAAACCACUUGAGCACAGCUACAGUCAUAUCUUCCUUGUUGACAAGCAUAUCUUUGAAAUAUCCUGGCUUUAUGAUCCUUAGCACACCUCUUACUAUCUCAUUAUCGGUGAAGUUGUCUUUUACCCCCUCCAGAAUCUGCCUACACACGCUGUUAUAGCUUAUGUCCGAUGAGUGGUCCCCAAUUUGGCCUCCUUGAACUUUGAAUUCAAGUUUUUGUAUGAGGGAGAGACACUACCUGCUCUUAAGUGUGGUGUGAGGUAGCAUUUGACUGUGUGCUACUAUGAGAGGGGACAAUGUUUGGUGAGGUGGUAGGUUGUACAAGUGUCAAUUGUGCUGUGGUCUGUAAUGUGGGUAUAUGAACAAAUUGGAGUUGUUUUUUACUCAAAUCUUCGUAAUUCAAAAGCAUUUGCUGGACAUUAGCAUUGCUCAGUGUAGUAGCAUCAGUGGCUGUAGUAACAGCAGAUACACUUACUGUAGUGGUUGGUAAUGGUUUGACUGUGUCUGCCUGG